UUCUUCCCAUUCGGAUGAAGUCUCUAAAACUAACAAUAAGAGCAGGAGUUUUUACAUACAACCAAUGUGUGACUUAAUAAGGCGUAUGUAUUUCUUCAAGCUUUUAUUGCAUAUAUCUGAUGAGUCCCUUCAGUUGUAAAGGAGACCCCACCAAGACUCUGGGCAUCAAACAACUGUCAUAAAUUUUUACAGUAGAACAAACCCACUGAGUCUAACUACGCCUCUCCAGCUGUAACCGGCAAGGUGUUUUUGUUUCUGAUCAUGAAAUGGGAAGUUAUAAAGAUAUAGAAGGAAUGUGGGUUAUGUUCAUUCUCUUUUGUGUGUCUCCCGCAGUUUCUGUCCCAGGCCAGCAGUGAUGGAUUUGCUUUGUUUCAGAGCCCACAGUCCACUUGCAAAACAUGUUCUGUAUCUGGUUUUGCAGCUGUUCAAAGAAAUAGAAUCAAUAGAGAACAGACAAACCCACAGUUGCCAGUUUGUACAGUCUUGUGGUUUCUGUCAGGGGCUACAGACUCGAGCAGGUCUACCAGAUAAUGAAGGCAAACUAUUUCAGUUCCUGUGGGUCCGGAGUGCCUCAGCAGAGUUCUGGUUUCAAACAAAUGAAUAACAAAUUAAAAGAGUCAUCACUGUUGAGUGGAACAUCGUUUCAGUUGCAUGAAGAUGCCAGACUAGAGGAAAGAGGACACACCAUGUGAUUUCCCAGGGGCCAGCAUUUCCCAAGGGAUGAGUCUGACCGAGGGGACACAAAAACAAACAGUCUAAAACCAACAGAUAUCCUGUCCAAAUUAUCUUUUUAUAGCACAGCAGAGCUGUAUUCAGUACAAAACAAGUAGAGUGAGAACUGAAUGUGAAUUACAAAGCAGAAUUUUAGUCAUGAUAUAGGACUUAAACAUGGGUUAAACUCAUGAUACAUGAGUUAAAGAACUGGAACCCCUUUUUAUAUUUCAUUGCCAACAGUUUUACCAAAUAGGUGGUUUAUUUGGAAAGGCAGCACCUCUGUGAAAUUAACUUUUGACUUAUAAAAGUUCAUAUUGUUCCUACCCUCCUUAGUCCGCUAACAGUGAUUACUUUUUUCUUUUUUGCUACAAACCAUGCAUGUGGAUUUUUGAGAAACAUGCCAUUAAUCAUGAUUAGAGUGUAUAGGCUCAAAAAUCUCUAAGACAUGCAAAAAACAAAACAAAACAAAACCUAAAAAAAAUUCCCCAAAAAAGCUGUGAAAUUAUUUAUUAAUCUGUAAAAACUGGUGUUGGUUUUCUAUAAAACCAGCAAUCAGAAAAUGUCAAAAUUUAUAUUUUUAUCCUUAUGAGAAUCUUUAUAGGUUUACCUAAAAGGAAAGAAUAGAGUCAGUUCCUACUAUUUCAGAUAGAUAUUGCCUUUGACAAGUAUGCAAAUGAUACUGGAAUUGUACACUUGAGCUUUUUAAUUGUGACAACUCUGAGACAUAACUUGGUAAAGCAGAUUGUGCUGCUCCCAUUACCUCUCCAAUCUGUUCUCAGACAGAAUCAUACUCAUGUUUCCAAGGCAGAGAGAGCACCAAGAGGUGAGGUUCUUUCUGUCAGCUCCUGCUAUCGACUGGAUUGUGUUCCGCCCCCACCCCCAAAUUUAUACGUUGAAGCCCUAAUCCUCAGUGCGACUGUAUCCGGAGAUGGGCCUUUAAGGUUAGAUGAGGUCAUAAGAGUGGAGCCCUAAUCCAUUAGAACUGGUUAUGUAACAAGAGGAAGAGACAUCAGAGCUCUUUUCUCUGUGAUGAAAGGACAUUUUGAUAAGUCAGUCACCUGCCAGCCGGGCCAAGAGCGCUCACCAGAAUUCAGCCAUGCUGACAACCUGAUCUUGGACUUGAGGCCUCUGAAACUGUGAGGAAUAAAUUUCUGUUGCUUAAGUCACCUUAGUCUAUGGUAUUUUAUGAUGGCAGCUCAAGCUGACUAAUCUAGCCCCUUAAAUAACCUAACCAAAAAUUAUAAUUAUUAAUUUUUCAGCAAAUAAAGGAGAAAAAAUGUUUUAUUAGAUUUUUUUAUAAGAAAAAAAUUUGAACAAAAGCAUCUUUGAAAAAACUGGUUCUCUUUAUUUGUUGUAACACACAUCCUGAGAAAAUUUGGUGUUCUUGCUAUGCAAACAUGGCUUCAAAAGAAAUACCAUUGCUUCUGCCAAUCAGAUUGUUGCUCCAAAGGGAAUUUUACAACUCAACACCAAAAUAAUAAACAAUCCGAUUAAAACAUGGGCAGAGGACGUGAACAGACGUGUUGCCAAAGAAGACAUACAGAUGUCCAAUAGACACAUGAAAAGAUGUUCACCAUUACUAAUCAUUAGGGAAAUGCAAAUCCAAACCACAGUGAGAUUUCACCUUACACCUGCCAGAAUGGCUAAAAUAAAAAAGACAAGAAAUAAAUGUUGGUGAGGAUGUGGGGAAAAAAAGGAAAUUUCGUGCUCUGUUGGUAGGCCACUGUGGAAAACAGUAUGGAGGUUCCUCAAAAAAAUAAAACUAGAAUUACCAUAUGAUUCAUUAAUUCCACUACUGAGUAUUUACCCAAAGAAAAUGAAAACACUAAUUUGAAAAGAUAAAUGCACCCUUUUAUAUUUUUUUUAGAUUUUAUUAGAGAGAACAUGUGCAUAUGAGCAGAGAGGGGAGCAAAGGGGGAGAGGGAGGAACAAGCAGACUGCCACUGAGUGCAGAGAUGGGUGCAGGGCUCAAUCCCAGGACCCUGAGAUCACGAUCUGAGUGGAAACCAAGAGCCCAUGCUUAAUGGACUGAGCCACCCAGGUGUCCUGCACCCUUUUAUUUAUUGCAACAUUAUUUACAAUAGUCAAGGUAUGGAAGCAACCCAAGUGAUAAGAUGUAUACAUGCAUGCUGGUGCACAGAGAGGAAUAUUACAUAGCCAUAAAGAGGAUGAGCUUUUUGCCAUAUGUGACAACACAGAUGGACCUAGAGGGUCUUCUACUAAGUGAAAAUAAGUCAGACUAAGAAAAACAAAUACCACGUGAUUCCAUUCCUGUGUGGAAUCUUAAAUGACUGAACAAGGCAAAAUCAGACGUAUCAAUACAAGUAACAAACUGAUAGUAGCCAGAGGGGAGAAGCGUGGGGAGAUGGGCAGAAUGGGUAAAGGAGUGGGAGAUACAGGCCUCCAGUUAUGGAAUAAAUAAGUCAUGGGAAUAAAAGGCACAACACAGGGAAUAUGGGCAAUGAUAUUGUAAUAGCAAUGUAAUGGGACAGAUGGUAGCUACACUCGUCGUGAGCCUAGCGUAACAUAUAGAGAAGUUGGAUCACUAUGUUGUGCACCUGAAACUGAUGUAACAUUGUUUGUCAACUAUACUCAUACAAAAAAACUUUUUUUAAUUCCUCUUACUCAGAAAUCCUGGAGCCACCACUGUUCCAACACAAAUGCUGCUGAUGCUCUAACACUUUUCAUAUUCCCUGCUCUAUCUUCCCUCUUCUGCACUACCUGUUAAUUUUUAAAUGUCUAUACCAUUUAUCAUGCUCCACCUUAUAAUUUCCAUGAUGUGUGUAUGGCUGUCCCCCCACUAGAAGACACAGAUCCUAAGAGCAGGAUUCAUGCUGUCUUUUUGGAUUUCCCCAG
RNAcentral lists this long non-coding RNA (3570 nucleotides) under Canis lupus familiaris (dog). RNAcentral's name for it is "lncRNA (ENSCAFG00845016888.1)". Lineage: Eukaryota; Metazoa; Chordata; Mammalia; Carnivora; Canidae. The record is from RNAcentral.